GACGAACGCUGGCGGCGUGCUUAACACAUGCAAGUCGAACGCUGAAGCUCAGCUUUUGUUGGGUGGAUGAGUGGCGAACGGGUGAGUAACACGUGAGUAACCUGCCUCCUUCUUUGGGAUAACGCCCGGAAACGGGUGCUAAUACUGGAUAUUCACUGGUCUUCGCAUGGGGGUUGGUGGAAAGGGUUUUUCUGGUGGGGGAUGGGCUCGCGGCCUAUCAGCUUGUUGGUGGGGUGAUGGCCUACCAAGGCUUUGACGGGUAGCCGGCCUGAGAGGGUGAGCGGUCACAUUGGGACUGAGAUCCGGCCCAGACUCCGACGGGGGGCAGCAGUGGGGAAUAUUGCACAAGGGGCGCAAGCCUGAUGCAGCGACGCCGCGGGAGGGAUGGGGGCCGUCGGGUUGUGAACCUCUUUCGCUCAUGGUCAAGCCGCAACAAUGGUUGUGGUGAGGGUAGUGGGUAAAGAAGCGCCGGCUAACUACGUG
RNAcentral lists this ribosomal RNA (483 nucleotides) under uncultured bacterium. Its description in RNAcentral is "partial 16S ribosomal RNA". It matches the Rfam family "Bacterial small subunit ribosomal RNA", at positions 28 to 507 of the family's 1533-position model. The record is from RNAcentral.